AGAAAGUANAUGCAAGAACUGCUAACUCNAUGCUCCCGUGCUUACACCCACGGCUUUCNU
This 60-nucleotide transfer RNA is filed under the name Callosciurus caniceps concolor. Its description in RNAcentral is "tRNA-Ser". The record is from RNAcentral. Lineage: Eukaryota; Metazoa; Chordata; Mammalia; Rodentia; Sciuridae.